CUUUCAUCCCUUUGUUGCUACCUCAAAGGGCUUAGGGAAAAGUAGAGAAGCAACAGUAGAAGCUUCAGAAGCCACUUUCUUACUCUCCUCCACUCUGUCCUCUUGGGGCGUAAAGCAGAUGUAUGAAACCCAAACACUCCUCUACCCCUCCUGGGACUCAGGUAUUUUUUAUGCACAAGAGCAGGUCAGACUUUGGGGCUGGGGGAGGAAGCACUCGAUUUCUGCCACACAGAGGAGUUAAAAGGAAUGAGCUGACAUUUUGUACUCUCUUGUGUCCAGGUUACUUGAACAGGCUUUUCUAGCCCUAAUUGAGAAGACCGUGAGAAAGGAGAGGUUCUGUGUUUGGCAGGUUUGCCCAGCUGCAUCCUGCAGAAUUGGCCCGCAUGCAGCCAUCUGACUGUGGCAAACAAGAUGCUUAAGGCAAAAAAAGAGGAGUGCAAAUAAAUACUAUGCCUCUAGGCAGUCUGCAGCUUGAGGGGAAAAAUUCUAUCAGAAGGCUAAUGCGUGCCUUUCACUGUGUUUCCUUCUCUUUGUGAACUAAUAGGAAAAUCUUCUCCCCAAGGAAGGAAGGCAUAAAUGAGCUCUGCCCAUGUUAAAGCCGGUGUGAAUCUUGCCCAGACUUUGAAAUGCCAGAGUUGAACUCCAGGACAUCACUGAGCAGCAAGCUGAAUGAAAGUGUUGAAUCACUUAAUGAAAAACACACAAACAGUAAGACUAGCAUUCUGACUCAAGAGAAGAAAGAAAAGACGACUUCGUUUGACAUGUGGUAUUACAUUCCGGUGCACCGCCACACGACUGGGUUCAUCACCACCAGCUGCGGGGGUAGCCAAUAUAUUGCCUGGUUGUGUGGCUGAUGGCAGGCGGACACUGAAGACAGACAAUUUUUGGCCCCAGAAUUUUAAGAAGUAGCUAUCUCAUGCUUAAUUUUCUUAGAGUAGUUCACAUCUCUGAAAUCGAUUUAUGUGAGAUUUAGCAUAUCCAACAAGGGAGGUAGAAUAACUUGCCCUAAGGUGCUGGGCCCUGUAAAGACAAACAAAAGAACAUCUGUGAAGGUGUAUGGAAAGAUGGGUAUUUGUACAAACAGGGAAGUAAAUAAGAAAAGGCUAAAAUCCUAGAAAAUGGGAACUUCCAGGAAAAGCGCUAGAAUAAUUCAGGCUGGAGUAAAAUUGGCUAUGGAAUUUUAAUAAUAGCUAACAUUUCUAUAGCACUUUAAGGUUUUCAAAGUGCUUUACAAAUAUCUCGUUUUAUGCUCACAACAACCCUGGGAGGUAGAUACUAUUAUUGUCCCCGUGUUAUAGAUGAGGUAAUGGAAAGAGACAGAGAUUAAGCUUUUAUCCAAGAUAGAACUAGCGUCAGAGAGUGGCUUUGGACUUAAUGUCUUCCUGAUCCUAAGCCUAGCCUUUUCAGUAUAUUAUUAAUCUUUUACAUAUCACUGUGUUGGUUGACUUCUCUCAUUCUAACUCAUUCCAAGAGAAUAGGAAGGCAUCUCAGAACCUAUCUAGUACAACUAGAGCCUCUUUGUGACAUGCCCAACAUACUUAAGAAGUGGUGAUCUAGCCUUUGCCUGUAGACUUCCAUUUAGGAGGAAACUCCUUUCUUCAGAGGCAUUCCACUUUCAAAAAGCUCUAAUUGCUAUAAAGGGGCAUCUAGGUGGUUCAGUGGAGAGCAGGCCAGCCCAGGGGUCAGGAGGACCUGAGUUCAAGUCUGGCCUCAGAUACUAUCUGUGUCUUGGGGAAGUCACUUAACUUCUAUCUGCCUCAGUUUCCUCAUCUGUAAAAUGAGUUGGAGAAGGAAAUGGCAAACCUCUCUAGCAUCUUUGCCAAGAAAACCUCAAAUAAGAUCAAGAAGAGUCAG
Molecule: long non-coding RNA, 1854 nt
Organism: Phascolarctos cinereus (koala)
Lineage: Eukaryota; Metazoa; Chordata; Mammalia; Diprotodontia; Phascolarctidae
Source: Ensembl